CUCAAAGAUUAAGCCAUGCAAGUGGUUAUAUUAACCCGACAGUUUAAAUAAGUGUUCAUUAUAAAAUUUUUGCUUUUAUGCACUGAUAUUAUACACCACCACACACACAUAUCACAUAAUAUUUGCAUGCAAUACACACACGCACAACUCAUUGCACACAUUUAUUAUACGUUAUGUGUCUGGUAUCCACAUACAUACACAACCCACGUACAAUAUCUUCAUGCACAUUAGCAAUUUUUUUAACAUUUAUGUAUAUAUAUACACCCAAGACGUAUCACUUACGCAACUGCAGACAGCUGCUUAAUACAGUCACACUUGUCUUGACUUGGCACCACCCAUGUGACAGAAGAAUGCACACACACAUACAACCCACCGCACUCUUCCAUCACAUACACAUUUUUGUCUCACAAACAUUAAUGUGAUUUCUCUGUUUUCGCAUAACCUACAAGAAAUAUUGCGAUCACAUCGUGACACUUCUUUUUUUUUAUGGAUAACUCAGGGAAAGUUUGGCUAAUACGUACGAGUACUACCACACAACACACUACACACAUACACAACCCACACACCACACACUACUCAGCACUCAAUGGUAAACUUUGAUAUUUUGCAUUCGUGCAUUAUAUCGGUUCAAAAGUUUAAUCGCAACAUGAGAGACAUUGAGUACGCACUGCUUANAUAUUUCACUAUAUAUAUACGCUGAGCAGACUUUGCGAAGUUCACUUUGCGAAGCAUGUCAUACAAGCAUCUACAGCAUCAAGUCACAGGGUUGGCAAGUGUAUUUUUGAACCUUCAAUGCAGUCACGCAUACGGAAGAGUAGUUUUUGAUCCCCAUAGAGGGAGCNCCGUACAUUGAGAGACCGCUCUUAGUUCUAUGGAACGCACCAGGCGNGUAAAUUGCCCAAUNCUAGUACCCUAACAUUACUUUAUCAAUUACAAGCAAUAUAUAUACAUAUAUUAUGACAUUUGUUAACUACUGUCAACACACACACACACACACAUCCUUGUUCGCAUGUCCCUUUAACAAAUACACAAUAUUUUAUUAUUGUUUUCACAAAUAAUGGUAUUUUAUUUUUUUUUACUGAGGCAGUGACAAGCUGUAACGGUUGAGUAUAAAAAUGACGAGUGUCUGGCAUUGCCGCUUCUUUCGGGGAGCUUGGCAAGUUGCCGACGCUUUGUGUGCUCAAUUGGAAUGCGGUGAGUUUAAGCAACUCAGAACCUUUAAUAUGGUGUGAUUCUCUGAUCAUCAUAUUAUGUAUCUGAAUUUCAAGUGGAGGGCAAGUCUGGUGCCAGCAGCCGCGGUAAUACCAGCUCCACUGGCCUAUACAAUCAUUGUUGC
This 1336-nucleotide ribosomal RNA is filed under the name Cassidulina laevigata. Its description in RNAcentral is "SSU rRNA". The stretch from base 294 to 1336 matches the Rfam family "Eukaryotic small subunit ribosomal RNA", at positions 1 to 616 of the family's 1831-position model. The record is from RNAcentral. Lineage: Eukaryota; Foraminifera; Rotaliida; Cassidulinidae.